This 253-nucleotide ribosomal RNA is filed under the name uncultured bacterium. RNAcentral describes it as "partial 16S ribosomal RNA". It matches the Rfam family "Bacterial small subunit ribosomal RNA", at positions 524 to 776 of the family's 1533-position model. The record is from RNAcentral.
CACGUAGGGGCCAAGCGUUGUCCGGAAUCACUGGGCGUAAAGGGUGCGUAGGUGGCCCGACAAGUCACUGGUGAAAGCUCGAUGCUCAACAUCGAGUCGGCCAGUGAUACUGUGGGGCUGGAGCACUGUAGAGGCAGAUGGAAUUCCCGGUGUAGCGGUGGAAUGCGUAGAUAUCGGGAAGAACACCAGUGGCGAAGGCGGCCGACUGGACGGCACCUGACGCUGAGGCGCGAAAGUGUGGGGAGCAAACGGG